UACGGGGGGAGCAAGCGUUGUUCGGAUUUACUGGGCGUAAAGGGCGCGUAGGCGGCCACCGCAAGUCAGUUGUGAAAUCUCUGGGCUUAACCCAGAAAGGUCAACUGAUACUGCGGGGCUAGAGUGCAGAAGGGGCAACUGGAAUUCUCGGUGUAGCGGUGAAAUGCGUAGAUAUCGAGAGGAACACCUGCGGCGAAGGCGGGUUGCUGGGCUGACACUGACGCUGAGGCGCGAAAGCUAGGGGAGCGAACGGGAUUAGAAACCCCCGUAGUCC
Molecule: ribosomal RNA, 274 nt
Filed under: uncultured bacterium
Lineage: Bacteria
Description: partial 16S ribosomal RNA
Rfam family: Bacterial small subunit ribosomal RNA
Source: RNAcentral